CUUUCUUUUACUCUUCGUCGAUUUCACAAUGAUGAUUAACGCCAAAGAUAUUCGUAUAAUCAUCGGAGUUAUUGGGAAUGUUCUGUCCACUGUGGUCUCCCUCUCAUAUUUGCCAAGGUUUAUACAAAUAUACAAGAAGAAAUCAGUGGAGGGAUAUAAAGUUAAUCGUCAGUUGCUGAUGCUGGCUAAAUGUAGUUUGUGGGUUUUGUAUGGUAUCCCUUUUGUUCACAAUGACAGUAAUAGUAUUCUCGUCUCCACUAGUAAUGGCGUCGGUUUCGUUAUCGAAGUUAUCUAUGUCGUUGUCUUUUGGAUCAAUUGUAAC
Non-coding RNA from Camelina sativa (false flax), 322 nucleotides. Lineage: Eukaryota; Viridiplantae; Streptophyta; Magnoliopsida; Brassicales; Brassicaceae. The record is from RefSeq and is a predicted model, not a curated record.